AGAGUUUGAUCCUGGCUCAGGACGAACGCUGGCGGCGUGCUUAACACAUGCAAGUCGAACGAGAGCGUAGAGAAAGCUUGCUUUUUCUACAAUCUAGUGGCAAACGGGUGAGUAACGCGUAAACAACCUGCCCUACGGAUGGGGACAACAGCUGGAAACGGCUGCUAAUACCGAAUACGUUCCGAAAGUCGCAUGACUGUCGGAAGAAAGGAUGGCCUCUAUUUAUAAGCUAUCGCCGGAGGAGGGGUUUGCGUCUGAUUAGCUAGUUGGAGGGGUAACGGCCCACCAAGGCGACGAUCAGUAGCCGGUCUGAGAGGAUGAACGGCCACAUUGGAACUGAGACACGGUCCAGACUCCUACGGGAGGCAGCAGUGGGGAAUCUUCCGCAAUGGGCGAAAGCCUGACGGAGCAACGCCGCGUGAGUGAAGACGGCCUUCGGGUUGUAAAGCUCUGUUAUACGGGACGAAUAAUCUUGUGGUUAAUACCCAUGAGAAGUGACGGUACCGUAAGAGAAAGCCACGGCUAACUACGUGCCAGCAGCCGCGGUAAUACGUAGGUGGCAAGCGUUGUCCGGAAUUAUUGGGCGUAAAGGGCGCGCAGGCGGCUUCUUAAGUCUGUCUUAAAAGUGCGGGGCUUAACCCCGUGAUGGGAUGGAAACUGGGAAGCUCAGAGUAUCGGAGAGGAAAGCGGAAUUCCUAGUGUAGCGGUGAAAUGCGUAGAUAUUAGGAGGAACACCAGUGGCGAAAGCGGCUUUCUGGACGAAAACUGACGCUGAGGCGCGAAAGCCAGGGGAGCGAACGGGAUUAGAUACCCCGGUAGUCCUGGCCGUAAACGAUGGGUACUAG
Molecule: ribosomal RNA, 845 nt
Filed under: human oral metagenome
Description: bacterial SSU rRNA
Rfam family: Bacterial small subunit ribosomal RNA
Source: RNAcentral